GAGAACUGAAAGGCUUUUUGAAGUCUUCGGAUGGAUAGAAGAACCCCUGAUGCCGUCGAGCCAAGAAAAGUUUCUAAGUUUAGCUAAUGUUGCCCGUACCGUAAACCGACACAGGUGGGUGGGAUGAGUAUUCUAAGGCGCGUGGAAGAACUCUCUUUAAGGAACUCUGCAAAAUAGCACCGUAUCUUCGGUAUAAGGUGUGGUUAGCUUUGUAUUAGGAUUUACUCCGAAAGCAAGGAAACUUACAACAAAGAGUCCCUCCCGACUGUUUACCAAAAACACAGCACUCUGCUAACUCGUAAGAGGAUGUAUAGGGUGUGACGCCUGCCCGGUGCUCGAAGGUUAAUUGAUGGGGUUAGCAUUAGCGAAGCUCUUGAUCGAAGCCCGAGUAAACGGCGGCCGUAACUAUAACGGUCCUAAGGUAGCGAAAUUCCUUGUCGGUUAAAUACCGACCUGCAUGAAUGGCGUAACGAGAUGGGAGCUGUCUCAAAGAGGGAUCCAGUGAAAUUGUAGUGGAGGUGAAAAUUCCUCCUACCCGCGGCAAGACGGAAAGACCCCGUGGACCUUUACUACAGCUUGACACUGCUACUUGGAUAAGAAUGUGCAGGAUAGGUGGGAGGCUUUGAGUAUAUGACGCCAGUUGUAUAUGAGCCAUUGUUGAGAUACCACUCUUUCUUAUUUGGGUAGCUAACCAGCUUGAGUUAUCCUCAAGUGGGACAAUGUCUGGUGGGUAGUUUGACUGGGGCGGUCGCCUCCCAAAUAAUAACGGAGGCUUACAAAGGUUGGCUCAGAACGGUUGGAAAUCGUUCGUAGAGUAUAAAGGUAUAAGCCAGCUUAACUGCAAGACAUACAAGUCAAGCAGAGACGAAAGUCGGUCUUAGUGAUCCGGUGGUUCUGUGUGGAAGGGCCAUCGCUCAAAGGAUAAAAGGUACCCCGGGGAUAACAGGCUGAUCUCCCCCAAGAGCUCACAUCGACGGGGAGGUUUGGCACCUCGAUGUCGGCUCAUCGCAUCCUGGGGCUGGAGCAGGUCCCAAGGGUAUGGCUGUUCGCCAUUUAAAGCGGUACGCGAGCUGGGUUCAGAACGUCGUGAGACAGUUCGGUCCCUAUCUGCCGUGGGCGUAAGAAGAUUGAAGAGAUUUGACCCUAGUACGAGAGGACCGGGUUGAACAAACCACUGGUGUAGCUGUUGUUCUGCCAAGAGCAUCGCAGCGUAGCUAAGUUUGGAAAGGAUAAACGCUGAAAGCAUCUAAGCGUGAAGCCAACUCUAAGAUGAAUCUUCUCUAAGCUCUCUAGAAGACUACUAGUUUGAUAGGCUGGGUGUGUAAUGGAUGAAAGUCCUUUAGCUGACCAGUACUAAUAGAGCGUUUGGCUUAUCUUUAAUAAAGCAU
RNAcentral lists this ribosomal RNA (1388 nucleotides) under Campylobacter jejuni. RNAcentral describes it as "partial 23S ribosomal RNA". It matches the Rfam family "Bacterial large subunit ribosomal RNA", at positions 1549 to 2925 of the family's 2925-position model. The record is from RNAcentral. Lineage: Bacteria; Pseudomonadati; Campylobacterota; Epsilonproteobacteria; Campylobacterales; Campylobacteraceae.